This 626-nucleotide ribosomal RNA is filed under the name uncultured Verrucomicrobiota bacterium. Its description in RNAcentral is "bacterial SSU rRNA". It matches the Rfam family "Bacterial small subunit ribosomal RNA", at positions 77 to 680 of the family's 1533-position model. The record is from RNAcentral. Lineage: Bacteria; Pseudomonadati; Verrucomicrobiota.
UAGCAAUAUUCUGUGGUCGGAGCGGCGCAAGGGUGCGUAACACGUGGGUAAUCUGCCAUGAAGUUUGGGAUAACUCGCUGAAAGGCGAGCUAAUACCGAAUGUGACGAUCGGAGGGCAUCUUCUGAUCUUCAAAGUUGGGGACCGUAAGGCCUGACGCUUCAUGAUGAGCCCGCGGCCUAUCAGCUAGUUGGUGAGGUAACGGCUCACCAAGGCUAAGACGGGUAGCUGGUCUGAGAGGACGACCAGCCACACUGGAACUGAGACACGGUCCAGACACCUACGGGUGGCAGCAGUCGAGAAUUUUUCACAAUGGGGGAAACCCUGAUGGAGCGACGCCGCGUGGGGGAUGAAUGGCUUCGGCCCGUAAACCCCUGUCAUUCGCGAACAAUGCCUGUGGUCUAAUAAAUCACAGGUUGAUAGUAGCGGAAGAGGAAGGGACGGCUAACUCUGUGCCAGCAGCCGCGGUAAUACAGAGGUCCCAAGCGUUGUUCGGAUUCACUGGGCGUAAAGGGUGCGUAGGCGGUCGGGUAAGUCUGAUGUGAAAUCUCACAGCUUAACUGUGAAACUGCAUUGGAUACUAUUCGGCUUGAGGUCUGGAGGGGGGACUGGAAUUCACGGUGUAGCA